Long non-coding RNA from Cervus elaphus (red deer), 892 nucleotides. RefSeq lists it as uncharacterized. The record is from RefSeq and is a predicted model, not a curated record. NCBI's taxonomy places the organism in Eukaryota, Metazoa, Chordata, Mammalia, Artiodactyla, Cervidae. The transcript has 2 exons.
CUCCGCGGGGCGCCUGCGCGGGCGGGCGUCCUCCCGGCGCCUGCGCGAUCGGGGCCUUUUCAAGUCAGGCCUGUUUGUCAAGCUUGUGUACUCCGCGAUCGGGUUCCGUGACCGAGCGAUUCACUGCAACUCUAAUCCGGCUGGGAUUCUUUAGCGGGUUUGAACUGCCACCUUGUACUGCGAGUACAAGCGCUGGGAGUAGAACUGCAGCCUGGCGGGCCCCGACUGGGGGCAUCAGACACCUCUCCAGGUCGCGGCUCCCGGGAGGAUUUGGCUCAGCGGGUCCAGGGGCUGCGGAGGGAGCCCGGGAGCUGGAAGGGAGCGGACGUGCGCAGAUGGCGGGGCCCGCCUGAGGCCCUGACCCCGACUUCGUGCCCGAACCCUGACCAACGACUCCCGCCUCGGAUCCAGACUCUGAGUACGACUCAGACUCCCGGACACCGACCCCGACUCCUCCUAGACCCGGGCCCCUGACCCCUAUCCCGCCGCAGUCUUGGCGCGAGGAGGAUGCUGCGGAGGGGAGAGUUUGGCUCGUCCGGGCUCUGGCCGCAGAGCCUGCCCGGCUGGUGCCCCAAGCGCCCUGUGCACGGAGAGGAAAAGGAAAGGGCUUAGGGUAAGAGCAGGGACUUCAGGGUAGCUGAGCCAGCUCCUGGGCGCGAGCGGACGGCAGUCUUGUUCUACAGAUGCUUAAUUUUGAAGAGGGGCCCUGGGUUCGAUCCAAGAUCCUAGAUCCUGAUGAAACUAAAAGUUGGUAUCUGCAACUAAAGAUUCUGCAUGAUGCAACUCCAAAAAAAAAAAAAAAGUAUUCCACAUGUCACAACAAAGAUCAAAGAACCUGCGUGCCGCUGCAAGUAAGACCUGGAGCAGCCAAAUAAAUAUUUAUUGAAAGAAA